This 283-nucleotide long non-coding RNA is filed under the name Gossypium barbadense (sea-island cotton). RNAcentral describes it as "long non-coding RNA (GBAR_LNC008046)". The record is from RNAcentral. Lineage: Eukaryota; Viridiplantae; Streptophyta; Magnoliopsida; Malvales; Malvaceae.
CCAAGUCCAAGUCCAGCUGAAUUGGAAGGGAUAAGUGGGAGAUGUACGUUAUUUUGUUUAUUUUUAAAUUCUGUGGGUGCAUGUUUGUGUAAUUGCCCAAUAACUAGGCGACUCCACACUGCAUCUCCAGAUGUCAGUACGGGCCUACUUAAAAGCUCUACCUUUAGGCCCAUAUUGGCCCGCCAUCAGGCCUCGAGAUUUGAGGACUACACCCCAGCCACAACAUAUUAUUUCCUUAAUUACUAGUAUUUUGUAUUUUCUUCAUUUAUUGCUUUGCCUAGCC